UUGACGGGGCCCGCACAAGCGGUGGAGCAUGUGGUUUAAUUCGACGCAACGCGAGGAACCUUACCUGGGCUUGACAUCCCGAUCGCACCUUAUGGAAACAUAGGGGUCAGUUCGGCUGGAUCGGUGACAGGUGCUGCAUGGCUGUCGUCAGCUCGUGUCGUGAGAUGUUGGGUUAAGUCCCGCAACGAGCGCAACCCUUUGCCCUUAGUUGCCAGCAUUCAGUUGGGCACUCUAAGGAGACUGCCGGUGUCAAACCGGAGGAAGGUGGGGAUGACGUCAAGUCCUCAUGGCCCUUAUGUCCAGGGCUACACACGUGCUACAAUGGCCGGUACAAAGGGGCGCAAGACCGCGAGGUGGAGCAAAUCCCAAAAACCGGUCUCAGUUCGGAUUGGAGUCUGCAACUCGACUCCAUGAAGUUGGAAUCGCUAGUAAUCGCGUAUCAGCAUGACGCGGUGAAUACGUUCCCGGGCCUU
RNAcentral lists this ribosomal RNA (473 nucleotides) under uncultured Desulfuromonas sp. Its description in RNAcentral is "bacterial SSU rRNA". It matches the Rfam family "Bacterial small subunit ribosomal RNA", at positions 910 to 1382 of the family's 1533-position model. The record is from RNAcentral. Lineage: Bacteria; Pseudomonadati; Thermodesulfobacteriota; Desulfuromonadia; Desulfuromonadales; Desulfuromonadaceae.